GUGCCAGCCGCCGCGGUAAUACGUAGGUGGCGAGCGUUGUCCGGAAUUACUGGGCGUAAAGGGUGCGUAGGCGGUCCAUUAAGUCUGAUUUGAAAUACCAUGGCUUAACCAUGGGGGGCGAUUGGAAACUGGUGGACUUGAGCAUAGGAGAGGAAGGUGGAAUUCCAUGUGUAGCGGUGAAAUGCGUAGAGAUAUGGAGGAACACCAGUGGCGAAGGCGGCCUUCUGGCCUAUAGCUGACGCUGAGGCACGAAAGCGUGGGGAGCAAACAGGAUUAGAUACCCUGGUAGUCCACGCCGUAAACGAUGAGUACUAAGUGUCGGGGAGAAGUCCUCGGUGCUGAAGUAAACACAUUAAGUACUCCGCCUGGGGAGUACGGUCGCAAGACUGAAACUCAAAGAAAUUGACGG
RNAcentral lists this ribosomal RNA (409 nucleotides) under uncultured bacterium. RNAcentral's name for it is "bacterial SSU rRNA". It matches the Rfam family "Bacterial small subunit ribosomal RNA", at positions 505 to 916 of the family's 1533-position model. The record is from RNAcentral.